AGUCAUCGUAUCACACUGGACCACAUUAGUUAUCGUGUACCGCGUGAUUGAAGCGACCUCUUUUUAUUCCCGAGCACACAAGCAAUUUGCUGUUUCGAGUUGGUCGUCCUCGAGACGGAAGCAUCGGAAGAACGCCGCUGCUCGAAGGGUUUUGGAUAUCCUGGCGAUGUCAAUAUAUACCAAAUCAAGCCGAGCGCCGUGUGUUUGACGAAUUGCCUAAACCAAUAAUCCUCCUUUUGGAUUUGUUUUCUGUGGCACUCUCUGGUUCUCCCUUUGGAUCUGUUUUCUGCGGCACUCACAAGUUCUCAGGAGCGAAGGAAACGGCGUGGAAACAGGUAGAUUGCGGAUGGAGUGCGUUGUGCAAGGAAUAAUCGAGACGCAGCAUGUCGAUGCCCUCGAGAUUCUUCUUCAGGGCCUUUGUGGAGUUCCAAAGGAACGCAUUAGAGUUCAUGAGCUGUGUCUAAAAAGUGGACCGAGCCUUGCCGUGCCCUCUGAGAUCCGCCUCUUGUGUGAUUUAGCUCAGCCCACUCCGUCUUGGACCGUGCGCCAUGUUGGGGGCGCCAUGAGAGGUGCUGGCGCCGAGCAAAUCUCAGUUUUAGUUCGAACCAUGGUGGAAAGCAAAGUGAGCAACAACGCGCUGCGCUUCUUCUAUUCGCUUGGCUACAAGCUGGACCACGAGCUCCUCAAGAUAGGCUUCGCCUUCCGUUUCCAGCGAGGUGCGCCGAUCACCGUCACCGUGACCUCUGCCAACAAAAUGCCGAAGCUUCACGCGACAGACGAGGCUGUGCCCGUCACUCCUGGAAUCCAAAUGGUUGAAAUUACAGCGCCUACUGCUGGGGACAAUUACAAUGAAGUGGGUGCUGCUGUUUCUUCCUUCUGCGAAUAUUUGGCUCCGCUUUUGCAUCUCUCAAAACCCGGCGUUUCGACCGGUAUCGUUCCUACCGCUGCAGCCGCUGCAGCUUCGCUGCUGUCCAACACCGGUGGUAAGAUCAGCUAGUGACGAUUCCCUUCGUGUUUACUUAUGGACGGUAAACUGAAUCAUCUAUGAUUUUGAUAUUUAUGUUGGACUAAUAUGUCAAGAAAAAUGUCCCGUUUGCUAAGAUUUAUGUUUCAAAAAUUAUUUUUAGAUGAUAUUUGUGCAUAAUAAUAAUAGUCAUACAUACGGUCAAGAUGCAAUGCACGAAUCAACAAGAAGCCGGGGUCAUUUGGCUCCGUAUCGUACGGUGGUCGCGCUCGCAUCAUGGGACUUGAUCCUCCUCCUCCGCCUCCUCCAUCAGACGCCUUCGAGAGAAGCUAUUUAAAUCCCGUUUCGAAGUCUCCAAGAAAACUCGCAGCCGACGAGCCGAUUCCUCUCUUUUUACGCCCUAAAACCUCUCUCUCUCUCUCUCUCUCUCUCUCUCUUUUGCCUUCGUGAUCUCUCCGUCCAUUCUUCGCCUUCUCUCUUUUCUCCCUCGCACCCACGCCGACAUCACCGAGAAGGGAGAAGAGGACAAGGGAUGGAGGCGAUGCAAAGCCCUAAUGCUGGAUCGCGCCCGCUCGUCUGAUGGAAUCUUUCUUGUGAUGGCGUAUCGUUUCUUGAACUGGGUUGACCGAUAGAAUCGAGUUCCUGGGACGAUGCGCACCGUUUCUUCAACUAGAUUUGGUCCUCGUCAACAAGGGCGACAUCUUCUGGGCACGGGGAAACUGGACCUUUCGCUAUUUUCUGAUUGAUGUUCUGUUUUUGGCCUUUAUGCGCUUUCUUGCUUUGCGGUGAUCAUGAUCCCGGUGGUGUACCUUGAGGAGAGCGUACUUGUUUGGUAUGACGGAAUCGGACGCAUCUUUUCUUGAAUUAGAUCGACCGAUGGAACCGAGUUCUUGGGACGAUGGACCAUUUCUUGAACCAGAAGGGGCGAGAGCUUUUAGGAACGGGGAAUCCGGACAUUUUGCUUUCUCAACUGGCAUGGAACGGCGUGGAUCUUUCCCCCACACGUUCUUUGGCUGUAUGCGCUUUCUUGCUUUGCGAUGCUCAUGAAUGCUUCAGGUCUGUAGGCGUUUACCGAACGGGCAGGUCGCCGUCACUGCUUUUAGCAGAUUAUUUCUGUCCCUUUCUUCGUUUCUUUUUUAAUCUUGGUUUGUUUACAGCUGCUAACUUUGUGGAUUGAGGUUAAUUGCAUUCUUAUUUUUCUCUUUCA
Molecule: RNA transcript, 2171 nt
Organism: Musa acuminata AAA Group (dessert banana)
Lineage: Eukaryota; Viridiplantae; Streptophyta; Magnoliopsida; Zingiberales; Musaceae
Gene name: mediator of RNA polymerase II transcription subunit 18-like
Exons: 7
Source: RefSeq, a predicted model, not a curated record